CUGUGUUACAAGGCAACGCUACCUUCUUUUUUCCCCCUUUAAACUACUUUUGAAAGUCACUAUGAACACUUGGAUGGAAAUCACGUUUUUGUUUUGUUUUGUAAUGCAAGCUUGAAAAUGUUUAUGUACACACACCCCAAAAUUUUUAGUACAUGUUAAACAAUUUUACUAAUUUUUUAAAAUAAACAUUUUGAGUAAUAUGAAUUCAAGCAGAUCUAUUAAACUACUGCCUUUUAUUUUCAUGUUUAGAAACUUGUGUAUACAAGUUUAUAUACCAAAACAGCUAUUAUGAGAUUAUAUCACCUAAUAAAAUAUAAUUUGAAACUCUCUUCACUAGCAGUUAACUUUUUUCUACAUUAUUUUUCCUUUUCAGAAUAUCUUCACUAUAUAACAGCCGAUCCUAAUUUAAAUCUCUACUCUGCUACAACUAAAUGCUUCUUAAGGCUUUUUAUUAGCAACAUAACUCAAGUAAUUAUGGAUGCAGUAAUUUUUAAGGAGUGUUUUAUUUCAUAUAAACAAUAUCAAUUUUCUCCCAAAUUUUAUCUUAUUGGAAUGCAAACUCUGUGAAGACAAAGAUCCUUGCUUGUCUUAUGUACUAUUGUAGUCUCAGUACCCAGAAGAAUGUCUGGUAUGUAAUAGGUGCUCAACAACUAAAUACGAAAGAAUAAAUGAAUGAAUUAAUUUAACCAACCAAAAAUCCUCCAAGGUGGAUAUAUUAUAUUCUUAUCCCCUUUUCUAGAUAAGGAAACCAAAGUACAGAAGAGUGAAAAAAUUACUCAAGAUUUUACUAUUGUUAAGUGGAGAAACUUAACAGUCAGGUCUCUCUGACCUCAAAGCCCAUACCCAUUAAAUGCUUUGUGUGGCAAAAAAUCCAUUGUUCUCAUGGAUUUGGGUGGUUUUCCCACUCAAGAAAAAUAAAAUACCAUAUGACCCAGCAAUCCCACUCUUGGGCAUAUAUCCGGACAAAACUCUACUUAAAAAAGACACAUGCACCCACAUGUUCAUUGCAGCACUAUUCACAAUAUCCAGGACAUGGAAACAACCCAAAUGUCCAUCGACAGAUGACUGGAUUAGGAAGAUGUGGUAUAUAUACACAAUAAAAAAGAACAAAAUAAUGCCAUUUGCAGCAACAUGGAAGGAACUAGAGACUCAUACUGAGUGAAAUAAGUCAGAAAGAGAAAUACAAAUACCAUAUGAUAUCACUUAUAUCUAGAAUCUAAUAUAUGGCACAAAUGAAACUUUCCACAGAAAAGAAAAUCAUGGACUUGGAGAAUAGACUUGUGGCUGCCCGGGCGGAGAGGGAGGGAGUGGGGUGGAUUGAUAGCUUGGGGUUAAUAGAUGCAAACUCUUGCCUUUGGAAUGGAUUAGCAUUGAGAUCCUGCUGUGUAGCACUGGGAACUAUGUCUAGUCACUUAUGAUGGAGAAUGAUAAUGUGCAAAAACAAAAUGUGUUGUGUAUGUGUAACUGGGUCAUCAUGCAGUAGAAAAAACAAUUGGGGAAGUAACAAUUAAAAAGAAACCUUUAUAGUAAAGCAGAAUUUUAUAAAUCAAAUCUUUCUGCUUAUGAUAGUUAAUUACCGAUGUGGGGACACCUAAAUAGAGUUGAAACACUAGGGAAGAAAGAUUUCAAGAUGUUGGCUAAUUCAUCAUCAUAUUAGACGUUAUAACUUUCUCAAAGCGUUAUUCUUGCCCAGAGCUUAGUUGUAGUUCCUAAAUAAAUAAAUGAUUGUAUUGUGACAUAACACAGUAUAUAGUGCAUAAUAAGGAGUUUAUAAUAUGUGGUGAAGGAAAGAAAUCGUUCACCAGCCUCCUUGCUUACAGAUUACAUAAAUCCAUAGUAACAAUCAUUACUAAUGUUUAUUGAAUACUUAUUAUUUUCAGACACUAUUCAAAGAGCUUUAUAUUAAUUCACUCAUUUCAUCCUACAAUAAUCCAUGAGGUAGGAAGUAGGGAAACUAAAUCUGUCCAAGUUCAGCAGCUAAUAUAGUGCUGGAGUAUGAACCCUAUUUCACUGCUGUUGAAAAAAGAAAUGACGGGCCUCAAACUCAGUCACUUGUGCUAACCCCACAUCAGCAAACCAAGACUUAACAACUAACCUUACUGAAGUCAUAACUCCCCCAGAACUGUGGUCUUAACAAGACUGGAAUUUUUUGGUCAGCACCAAUGAGGUGAUCAGCCCCAUAGCCCUUCCCAUCCCUCAGAGGGAGAUGAAGUAAUCCACUCUCUCCAUUUCCUUUUCCCCUUCUUGACUGUAAAAGUCUCUAUUUUAAAUAGCUCCUUGGAGCUCUUCUCAGCUUGCUAGAUGGGAUGCUGCCCAAUUCAUGAAUUGUUCAGUAAAGCCAAUUAGAUCUUUCCAAUCUACUUGGUUGAAUUUUCAGUCAACCCUGCUAAACCUGUGUUCUAAUCCUCACAAGACUGCCUCCUGCCAGCUCUCCUACCAACUCCAUCCCCAAUUCCAGAGGUUUCUGAGUUUCCCUCAUUCAAAAGGAUGUAUUAGCUACCAAAAUUGCCCCGAAGGUGACCCAACCAGAAAUAAUACUGGGGAUACCAGAUUUGGAAUUGGAGGAGGGAGGGAGGGGGUGGGGACUACUUUUUUACUUAGGGCAGAAAGGAAAGAAGUAUUAACAGUUGUUGCUAAAAAAAAUAACCUGAAAUUCAUAGACUAGAAGAGAAGAGGUGGAAGGUGAGCAGAAACUUACCCUCCCUCAUUUAUGCCCCUUUGGCAGGAUUGGCUAAUUGGAUGGCUCUCUCUUUUUUUCCAGGUUGCCCUUGGCAUUCAUUCUAACUGUACUUCACCUGGAUUAAAAUACACAAAGAUGAUUAGCACAGUAUAGAUUUCUCAGGUUUAAAAAUGCUCCAAGAGAAAGCAUGCUAGUUAAUAAAUACUGCUUAACAGUUCAAACCGGAUAUUUGCAUUUAUUCCAAUUCUUACCUAAACACACAAGUGCUUCAGAUGGAAACUACUUUUUCACAUAAAUUGCCUUUCUCCUCUAACUUGCUGUCUGGAUUGGAGAUUAUUUAUGUGUAGGAGGGAGUGAGAGAGCCUACAGAGAAAAUACUGGCUCUGAUGCAAUGUCUGGCUUAAGGCAGAAGAAGAAAAGGUUUAACAAAGAUUGGUUGAGAAAUCUAUGCUUCAGGCAUUAUACUUAGCACAGAGAUUACAAAGAUGCUCCCAUGUUAGGAAAAUAAAGCUCUGAACCUAUCAGCACAAUCAGAGUGCUAAGCACAAUGAGGCCAUAUGCCGAGCGAAGGUCCCGGAGGGGAAUCUGAGGGGGGCAGGCAGGACAGACCUCCAGCUGCAGCCUGGGCAGUGUAGUGAGAACUGCUAACACAGUGUACCAGGUGCCCAGACAUCUUCUGUCACUCUCUGGGAGCUAAGGCAUAGGCUCUGACGUCUUGUGCAAGGGACAUGUUUUGCUAUAUCCUAGGUGAUUUAACCAGAACUGGGAGAAGAAGAAAAAAAAAGAGUUUUUGUAACUGAUCAUUCCAAUAUUCACUAUGUAGAUUACUAUAAAGUAGCGAAGCAGCAUAGUGAUUAAGUGCAUGGUGUCUAAAUUCAUGCUAUCUCAGUUUAAAUCCUGGCUUGGCAGCUUUGUGACUGAGAGCAAGUCACACCAGCUCUGAGCCCUAUUCCUAGUCUGCAAAAUGGGGCAGAUAGUUGUCUCUGCUUCUUAAGGGUGCUGUAAAGAUUAAAUGAAAAUAAUACAAGCCCUUCAUGUCUUACACACGAGACUUUCUAGUUUAUAUCACAAGGUUUGAGCAAAAUUUUUAGAUAAAUCAGUUAUUUUUAUGUAUCCUUUUCCUACAAAGGAAUUGUGAGUUUAUAGUGCCAUCUUAAGGAUAAAGCAACCAUGUAAUCUUGUCAUUUUAUCAUUUUUGUUUAUUACUAGCAAUGCAAGAUUCAUUUUUACCAGCCUUUGCGCAUUGCCUUCCCCUUUGCUCUUCAUACUCUAGCCAUUGUUAAUGGUUCUUCUUUGCUUCUUACCCUGUAGUCAUCUCCCUAGGAAAAUUUAUCAUGCUGAAUUCUUGUUUUUAGGUCCAUCUCCUCAAGAAUGGUCACUUAUUCAAUUUUGUACCCACUCUGCCUAGCAUACUCAACAAAUAUUGCUCAAAUAAACACAUUCUCAAUAAAAACAUUUAGCACCAAUAUGUAUGUGGAUUCCAAAAAUCACAAAGGAUAUAAAGAUUCUCUUUGAUCCAUCAAAGUUUCAUGGUCUGGAAAUGCACACACUAAAAAUUUAACUGAAGGAGUUCCCCUUGUGGCAUAGUGGUUAACGAAUCUGACUAGGAACCACGAGGUUUUGGGUUUGAUCCCUGGCCUUGGUCAGUGGGUUAAGGAUCCGGCAUUGCCAUGAGCUGUGGUGUAGGUCACAGACGUGGCUAGGAUCCUGCAUUGCUGUGGCUGUGGCGUAGGCCAGCGUCUACAGCUCUGAUUAGACCCCUAGCAUGGGAACUUCCAUAUGCCAAGGGAGUGGCCCUAGAAAAGGCAAAAAGACAAAAAUAAAUAAAUAAAUACAUAAAUACAUUAAAAAAACCUUAACUGAAAAAUGUCACUGGCUAGAUGGGGUACCUGGUAAAAACAAAUAUAAAGCUUCUCAGAAAGGCUUUGCACUCAACCCAGGCUGCACAAGUUUCCCAUGUAUAAAACUGUAUGGAAGGACCAACAAUCCAAAAUCACAAAACAUUUAGUGAAACAAUCCACUAGAAGACACGAAUUGGUUGUCAACAAACAGCAGAAUUAGAUACACAAAACUUCAUUACCUCUUUCCAGCUGUGUCAUUACUCUAACAUCUGCUUUCAUUGUCACAUUCCCUGACUCUGACCUUCUUGCCUCCCUCUUACAAGGACCUUUGUGAUUAUACUGAACCCACCUGGAUGAUGAGAAUCACCCCUUAAUUUAAUCACAGCUGAAAAUUCCCUUUAGCAAUGGAAGAUCACAUAUUCACAAAUUCCAGGGAUUAGGAUGAAAGCUUUUUGGGGAGCCAUUACUCUGUCUACCAUAAUUUUCUUUUGCUAUUAGGUCAGAUCUAAGGCCAAUUUGGGUUCUUCUAUUUCCACUCCUCUAUCUGCUCUGCUUUCUUAUCUGGCAGGCUAGGACAUCCAAUAUAGUGCUCAAAAGAAGUGGUAAUAGUGUCAUCUUUGACUUGUUCCAGAACUUGAGACUAUUUCUAAAUAUUUCAGUGUUGAAUGAAUAUGAGUUUGGUGAAGGUUUCUGGUGUUGCCUUUUAUUGGUUAAACGAAGUUUUCUUGUACCAGUAGUUUCCUAGAAAUUUUAACCAUGAAUGUGUGUUGAAAAUAAGUGAAUGUUUUUUUCUGCUUUAGUCUUCCUCCUGUAAUCUUUUGAUGUGCAGAAUCACAUUAAUUAAUUUGAUUUUCUAAUAUUUAAUCACCCCUGAAUUCCUAUAAUAAACUCAAUUAGGUAAUGACAUUUACUUUUUUUAAACAUCACUACAUAUUUGCAAGUAUGCUUAUGAGUAAGACUGACAGAAAAUUGAAGUUUCCUGGUGCUCAGAGGUUUAAGGAUCCAACAGUUUAAGGUGGCUUGGGUUGCUGCUCUGGCUGUGGGUCCAGUCCCUGGUCUAGGAACUUCCCCCUGCUGCAGGCAC
This 5605-nucleotide long non-coding RNA is filed under the name Sus scrofa (pig). RNAcentral describes it as "lncRNA (ENSSSCG00025032842.1)". Lineage: Eukaryota; Metazoa; Chordata; Mammalia; Artiodactyla; Suidae. The record is from RNAcentral.